GAUGAACGCUGGCGGCGCGCCUAACACAUGCAAGUCGAACGAUUAAAGCACCUUCGGGUGUGUAUAAAGUGGCGAACGGCUGAGUAACACGUGGGCAACCUGCCCCUUUCAUUGGGAUAGCCACGGGAAACCGUGGAUAAUACCGAAUACUUCGAGACUUCCGCAUGGAAGACUCGAGAAAGCUCCGGCGGAGAGGGAUGGGCCCGCGGCCUGUUAGCUUGUUGGUGGGGUAACGGCCUACCAAGGCAAUGAUGGGUAGCUGGGUUGAGAGACCGACCAGCCAGAUUGGGACUGAGACACGGCCCAGACUCCUACGGGAGGCAGCAGUGGGGAAUCUUGCACAAUGGGCGAAAGCCUGAUGCAGCGACGCCGCGUGCGGGAUGAAGGCCUUCGGGUUGUAAACCGCUUUCAGCUGGGACGAGGCGAAAGUGACGGUACCUGCAGAAGAAGCCCCGGCUAACUACGUG
RNAcentral lists this ribosomal RNA (467 nucleotides) under uncultured bacterium. RNAcentral's name for it is "partial 16S ribosomal RNA". It matches the Rfam family "Bacterial small subunit ribosomal RNA", at positions 28 to 507 of the family's 1533-position model. The record is from RNAcentral.